Molecule: long non-coding RNA, 988 nt
Filed under: Vigna radiata
Lineage: Eukaryota; Viridiplantae; Streptophyta; Magnoliopsida; Fabales; Fabaceae
Description: long non-coding RNA (VRAD_LNC009325)
Source: RNAcentral
AUAAUGAGUUUUCAUUUUAUAAUUUUUGUCUUAUCUAAUUUUAUCUAAUUUUCACAAGCAUAAUGACAUCAGAAGGAAUUGGUAAUUGGCCUUAAGGUUUUUUAAGAGAUGACGAUUGAUGAAAUUAGAGAGAUGAGUGAAGAUGAUGAAAUUGAAGAGAUCUUGAAUGAUGAAGGUGAAUAUGCCAAUGACUAAACUCUUUACAAAGGUAAAUUGUUUAACGACGAGUAUUGCUAAUUUUUUUUCCAGUUGAAUCUACCAUAGGAUGAGAGAGAAAAGGUUGGAGUGAGAGAGAUGAAAGCGAAAGGAUUGACAGGAAUGAGAGAGGUGAGUAAGGGUUUGAGAGUUUUUUUUUUUUUUAGUUUUGAGAAUGAAAAUUAUUUAAAUAUCCUUGACUUUAAAACUUAGAAUCCAGGUCCAGGAUUCGAGUAAAAUCGACCUUCCCUCUCAUCUCAGGGUGAGGCAAGGUAGCUUGCUCAAAUGUUCGUUGUUCAAUAUCUCGGCAGCUCAAGAAGUUGGACUAGCUGCUCCCAUUCCUCAAAGCCCGGAGUGGAUUCUAAGGGAAGGGCGGAGCCUCACCUUGCAGUANGAAGGUCUUCGUUGCUGGGACGGGUUCAAACUGGACUGAAGGGAGGAGGAAUGAAAGACUUCGAUCUUACUGGGGAUUCAUCACUGGCUAGGGCGAAUCAAAGCAUGGGCAUCUGCAAGUAAGAGGGAACAAUAAAUCGUCGAUUGAAGAGCCAGGUCAGUCAACUUCUAUUGGGACUUCUAUUGAUUCGACUAGAGGGACUCCUAGCAACUUGUAUGACGGGGCCCCAUGGAGAUGCAGGAGCCGGAUCGACCCAUAAAUAAAUGAUAGGCCAGAGGGAUGGGCUCAUUCGACUAAUUAGUGAUCCCUGGCCCUACCUAAUAUAUGAGGGUAUUUUUGUCUACUAUAAUCUGGUACACAUUAUUAAAAUGUAUCAACUGAAAAACAAGCGUACACGCC